Molecule: long non-coding RNA, 2751 nt
Filed under: Canis lupus familiaris (dog)
Lineage: Eukaryota; Metazoa; Chordata; Mammalia; Carnivora; Canidae
Description: lncRNA (ENSCAFG00000057612.1)
Source: RNAcentral
UUUUUUUACUAAUUCAAGAAUUAAUUCUUUAUCAGUAUCCAUUCUGCUCUUCAGCACAUCUAUUAAAUUUUCAAAAAUAGGUAGUGAUCAUGGAAACCUAAUUAAUUCUUUUUCGUACCACUUGUUUUUAAUCAAUGGUGUAUGGACCCCUCAUAUCUGAUUACACUUUUCUUAAGGUUAAUUCUCCCUUCCCAUAGAUAUUAGUUCUUUUAUUUGUUGACUUUGUUUCUUUGUUAAUGAUGCUUGUUUUCUUAAAUGUUUGGACAUUCCUAACUACUGUUUGCACUUGAAUUUAAAAUUCCUGUUUGCCUGAGUAUGUAAGUACUGAUUCCAGCUGCCUCUGGUGACUUUGGGAGACAGGAGGGGAGUGAGGGAGAGGGAGGAAGAGGGUAAGAAUUGCAAGCUAGUAGACUGCUCACCUUCUGAGAAGGUGCAUUUCCCCACCCCAGGAAUAUAAGUCAUCUGGAGUCAUUUCUCUCCUGCUCUGGCUCAACUGUCCAUCUGAGUUUCCUGGGUCAGGACUCCUUCUGCUUCGAGACAGCUGUGCUCAGAGUUUAUUCUGGCAGCAAAUACACAAAUCAGGCACCUUCUUUUUUCUUUCUUUUUUCCUUAGAUGUCUGGGGUGACUUCCAGCUCUGUUCUGCCUCUCUGGGUUGUCUCUCCCCUUCUGGAGGUCUUAUCCCGCAUCUAAGCAUCACCCAUGCUCUCUGCUCAGUAGGUGUGGGGAGGGAAAGGGACCUCGUGGGCUCAGCUGUUCCAAAUACUAAGUUUUAUUAAUUAACCUUAUGGUUGCCCCAAAGCCCCUCCUGAUCUCUCUAUUUGUUGAGUCUGAGCUUUAAAUAUUUCUGGAAUUUGUAUUACUUCCACAGUAGUUUUCUAUUGUCUAUGUUGGGGGCUGUGGUAUUUUCCUGCCCUUAUGUUUCUAUAGUCUGAUCCCAUCUGCUUUCUAUCUCCCAGGAAUUUUUCAGAACCUGUAGGGAUAGAUCCCUUUCUUGUUUCACAGGCUGUGGUGGAUUCCUUUACCUCUUCCUCCUUUCAAACACAUAUCUUGAACUUCACAAUGAUUCAAUGACAGACUCAUUAUUACCUCAUUUUUCAGAAGUAAAAUUGAGCUUAGAAAAGCUGACUUCUCUAAGAGGUCACAGCUAGAAAGUGGUAGUGCUGGCACUGGGACUCUAGUUCAUCAAACUACCGGUAGCAGUACAAGUAUCAUCUCCAUUUGUUCAGGACCUUCUUUGUGUCUGCCUCCUGAUUCCAUCCUGCUGUGGCCUGAGAGCCCCUUGACAGCCUUCUUUGUGUCCCCUGUAGCACCUGCACAGUGCAGAUAGCACCACACACCAGGAGCACAGGUCAACAACAGCUUGCCCCAGGUCACAUAACUAUGCAGUGGCAGGUCAGGAUUUGAACCCAGAAAGCCUGGCCCCAGAGACCAGCCCCUAAGACCAUCUUUCACUGAGAUCUGAGGUGUCACUCACCAGCUUCCUCCCAGCAUCCCCGUUCUGAGAGGAAGGCAUAACACUAGGCUAACAGCCAAUUUAUGCCUCAGAAAAACUGCCUUAGGGGGCUUCCACUGCUGUGUUUCAUUAUAAGCAUCAUGACACGAUUUGACUCUUAAAACCAAGACCAAGUAUUACUUUGAUGAAACAAAAGAAAAGAGAAACAAAAAGAAAAGAAUACCAAACGGGAGCUGUCAGAGCCGUCAAUAAACCACACAGACACAACAGAGCCUGUGAACAUGCGAACUAGUAGAGGCCACGUCUGAGUGGGGAAGGGAACGGGGAAUAUGGAUAAAGCAAGACUAGUCUAUGAGGAGGUAAGCAGCUGUGGUUUGUGAUCUGCCAUUAAGAACAGUGUCACUGGGCAGCCCGGGUGGCUCAACGGUUUAGUGCUGCCUUCAGCCCAGAGUGUAGUCCUGGAGACCUGGGAUUGAAUCCCACGUUGGGCUCCCUGCAUGGAGCCUGCUUCUUCCUCUGCCUGGGUCUCUGCCCCUCUCUCUGUGUGUCUCUCAUGAAUAAAUAAAUAAAAUCUUAAAAAAAAAAAAAAAAAAAGAAAAAAGAACAGUGUCACCUUCACAAGUGGAAUUCUGGGGGCUUCAGGGGUUUUUUAUUGGUUUUGUUUUGUUGUGUUUGUCAGAUAAAGGCAUCAGCCCUAUGACGCUAAUAUUGGAAUAUUCUAAAUAAACAGUUAAUUCAUCUCUACCAUAACUAAAAACUGAAUUUAUGAGUGUUUCCAGCCCCUCUUUCAGAUCUCUGAGUGCUUCUCCAAUUCCAUCUUCAUUAUUCUUUGCCUCACACUUUUGCCCUCCAGCCCACAAAAACCCAGGCAUAGCCUUCUUGUGUAAGCAUCAUUGUAGUUUUCAUUCCCAGGUCCCUCACUGCCUCAGACUGCACCACCUCCCUUCUGACUACACACCUGUCAUCCGCACACACAUACCCAAUCUGGGGCCAGGCCAAUUGUAUUUGUUAUUCUUAAAACUCUGUUUAGGUAUAAUUUCCUCUAGGAAGACCUUUUUGGUACCUUUCCACAGGCUGAGUGAGACACCCACCCUUUGUGUUCCUCCCUGCCAUUCAGUGGUAGCCCAUGAUACACAAUCAUGUUAACCUAAUUUAGACCUAACAUCCAGACAACUCAGGAUCAGCUCUAUUUUCACACAUGUGGAAACUAAGACUCAGCAAGACUGAAGAACCCACCCAACACGGCUGAGAAUCAAAGCUGGUGUGUGUACCAAGCUGUUUUUUUUUUGAACAGCCA